Long non-coding RNA from Pan troglodytes (chimpanzee), 864 nucleotides. RefSeq lists it as uncharacterized. Lineage: Eukaryota; Metazoa; Chordata; Mammalia; Primates; Hominidae. The transcript is spliced from 2 exons. The record is from RefSeq and is a predicted model, not a curated record.
UCUCAACACUUAUCUGUGGACACCAUUUAAAUACCUUUUUGGAGAUGUUGCUGUGUUGCCCAGGGUGGAGUGCAGUCAUGAUCACGGCUCACUGCAGCCUCGAAUUACUGGCCUCAAGUGAUCCUCCCACCUUAGCCUCCCAAAGUGCUGGGAUUACAAGAUAUGAGCCACGCCUGAUGCCUGGCCACUGUGGGGCACCAUUUAUAGAGUGACUUGUGGCCCUGCAGUUAUGGGAAAUAAAGGAAAAGAAUGUCUUGCUAAAUCAACAAAGCUGCUGUAUCAUUGUUCAUUUGGCCAGGCAAUUCCUCAUGGACCAGUAAUAAGCUUCAGCUCGGCCAAACCCAUUUUUGAUAGCAAUCAAGAUGAUUUACCAUUUAAAGUAUUCAGCACUUCUAAGACCUGGUUGAGGAGUUCACAAACAGCAGGCAGAGCUGGGCAGAAGAGAUCAAGACAGACGGGACCUCAGCGAUCAUGGGUUCCAGCCUUUUCCUUUCACAGGUGAGGACACUGAGGCUGUCUGGGAGAAGGAACUUGCUGGAGGUCCCUGCGAGGGUGUCUGAGGUGAGGCUCAUCCCCGUGCUCUGUUCAUCAUUGCCGCCCGAGUCCCUUCUCAAAGCCCUUUGUGGGUGAUUCCUAUGCAAGGUGCAAUUGCCGGUGGGGCUUGAGCAGGUCCUUCCUUGGGAAACACGAGGAAGGGCUAAACAGGGAGAGAGAGAGGAUCCCACGCUUGGCAUCUGCAAGGUGGGAGGAGAAACGUGGAGAAAGCAAUUGCCAUGUGCCUUUGUCGCCGUGAGGCUCAAAAACCUGGACUCACCCGGCUAGGAAUUUCUCUCUUAAAAUAAAAUGGAUUUGCUUUGUGCUUUA